This 521-nucleotide ribosomal RNA is filed under the name uncultured bacterium. RNAcentral's name for it is "bacterial SSU rRNA". It matches the Rfam family "Bacterial small subunit ribosomal RNA", at positions 8 to 521 of the family's 1533-position model. The record is from RNAcentral.
AGAGUUUGAUCCUGGCUCAGAACAAACGCUGGCGGCGUGUCUUAAGCAUGCAAGUCGAGCGGCAAGGGCAGCAAUGCCCCUAGAGCGGCGGACUGGUGAGUAACGCGUGGGUGAUCUACCUUUGGCAUGGGGAUAGCCAUUAGAAAUAGUGGGUAAUACCGAAUACGUUCGUUACCGUGAGGGUAACGAGGAAAGGCGCUACGGCGCCGGCCUGGAGAUGAGCUUGCGUCUGAUUAGCUAGUUGGUGAGGUAAUGGCUCACCAAGGCGAUGAUCGGUAGCCGGCCUGAGAGGGUGUACGGCCACACUGGGACUGAGAUACGGCCCAGACUCCUACGGGAGGCAGCAGCUAAGAAUAUUCCGCAAUGGACGAAAGUCUGACGGAGCGACGCCGCGUGGAUGAUGAAGGCCGAAAGGUUGUAAAGUCCUUUUGCUGGGGAAGAAUAAGCGUGGGAGGGAAUGCCCGCGUGAUGACAUGAACCGGCGAAUAAGCCCCGGCUAACUACGUGCCAGCCGCCGCGGU